GACGAACCGUGCGAACGUUGUUCGGAAUAACUGGGCUUAAAGGGCGCGUAGGCGGCUUUCUAAGUCAGGGGUGAAAUCCGGCAGCUCAACUGUUGCAGUGCCUUUGAUACUGGAAAGCUCGAGGGAGGUAGGGGUCUGUGGAACUUCCGGUGGAGCGGUGAAAUGCGUUGAUAUCGGAAGGAACGCCGGUGGCGAAAGCGACGGACUGGAUCUCUUCUGACGCUGAGGCGCGAAAGCCAGGGGAGCAAACGGG
This 253-nucleotide ribosomal RNA is filed under the name uncultured bacterium. RNAcentral describes it as "partial 16S ribosomal RNA". It matches the Rfam family "Bacterial small subunit ribosomal RNA", at positions 524 to 776 of the family's 1533-position model. The record is from RNAcentral.